This is a long non-coding RNA of Thamnophis elegans (Western terrestrial garter snake), 238 nucleotides long. RefSeq lists it as uncharacterized. The record is from RefSeq and is a predicted model, not a curated record. The transcript is spliced from 2 exons. NCBI's taxonomy places the organism in Eukaryota, Metazoa, Chordata, Lepidosauria, Squamata, Natricidae.
UUCUCAAGGCUAACGCAAGGAGGUGCAGACUUUUUUUUAUUAGGCCUCUUCCAUCAUCCGGAUUGUUGCCGUCUCCGUUUCCCAAACCCAACCUAAUUCAUGAAGAAAGUCCGUGAUUUCUUCAAUAAACGGAGAUUAAGAAGAACAUAUACUUUGGAGGAUAGCAGGUCGGAUGCCUCUUUUGUACAACCCCCUCUGGAUGAAGAAUUAGUGUCAUUUACAUCAGUAAAACAUACAA